This 862-nucleotide ribosomal RNA is filed under the name uncultured organism. RNAcentral describes it as "bacterial SSU rRNA". It matches the Rfam family "Bacterial small subunit ribosomal RNA", at positions 527 to 1382 of the family's 1533-position model. The record is from RNAcentral.
GGAGGGUGCAAGCGUUGUUCGGAAUCACUGGGCGUAAAGGGCGCGUAGGCGGCGUGUUAAGUCAGACGUGAAAUCCCACGGCUCAACUGUGGAAGUGCAUUUGAAACUGGCAUGCUUGAGUACCAGAGGGGAAGGUGGAAUUCCCGGUGUAGAGGUGAAAUUCGUAGAUAUCGGGAGGAAUACCGGUGGCGAAGGCGACUUUCUGGCUGGAUACUGACGCUGAGGCGCGAAAGCGUGGGGAGCAAACAGGAUUAGAUACCCUGGUAGUCCACGCCGUAAACGAUGUGCACUAGAUGUCGGGGGUGUUGAUCCCCUCGGUGUCGGAGCUAACGCAUUAAGUGCACCGCCUGGGGAGUACGGUCGCAAGAUUAAAACUCAAAGGAAUUGACGGGGGCCCGCACAAGCGGUGGAGUAUGUGGUUUAAUUCGAUGCAACGCGAAGAACCUUACCUAGCCUUGACAUCCCGGGGAUUUUCUGGAAACAGGGAAGUGCUUUCAUUAGAGAGAACCCGGUGACAGGUGCUGCAUGGCUGUCGUCAGUUCGUGUCGUGAGAUGUUGGGUUAAGUCCCGCAACGAGCGCAACCCUCGCCUUUAGUUGCCAGCAGUUUGGCUGGGCACUCUAAAGGGACUGCCGGUGUCAAACCGGAGGAAGGUGGGGAUGACGUCAAGUCCUCAUGGCCUUUAUGGCUAGGGCUACACACGUACUACAAUGGCCGGUACAAAGGGCAGCGAGCCUGCGAAGGUGAGCGAAUCCCGUAAAGCCGGUCUCAGUCCGGAUCGGAGUCUGCAACUCGACUCCGUGAAGUUGGAAUCGCUAGUAAUCGUGGAUCAGCAUGCCACGGUGAAUACGUUCCCGGGCCUU